UCAAGAGUGCGUGAAACCACUGGGAUGGAAACGGAUAGAGUUGACGAAUUGGGCGAUAUUCAGCUGUUUUGCGUGAGCAAAGUGGUGUACUUAUCGUCUGUGUGCGCUGAGAGUCUUGAUUGAACAUUCUAAACCGUCGUAUUUUGUUGCCCGUCGUCUCACGAUGAUGGUGUCUUGUGCGUGCGGGUUGGGAUGUUUCGAUUAAGUAUUUUCGGUGUGAAAGUCGACCACCUAUCCGACCCGUCUUGAAACACGGACCAAGGAGUCUAGCGUAUGUGCGAGUCAUUGGGUGGUAAACCUAUUGGCGUAACGAAAGUAAAGGUCGUUUCUUGCGGCUGAUAUGGGAUCCGUACGGUUUCGAUCGUGCGGCGCACCAUAGCCCUGUCUCGAAGGCUUGCCUUGAGAUGGAGGUAGAGCGCAUGCGCUAGGACCCGAAAGAUGGUGAACUAUACGUGAGCAGGAUGAAGCCGGAGGAAACUCUGGUGGAAGUCCGUAACGGUUCUGACGUGCAAAUCGAUCGUCUGACUUGCGUAUAGGGGCGAAAGACUAAUCGAACCAUCUAGU
Molecule: ribosomal RNA, 564 nt
Filed under: Rhabdias breviensis
Lineage: Eukaryota; Metazoa; Nematoda; Chromadorea; Rhabditida; Rhabdiasidae
Description: LSU rRNA
Rfam family: Eukaryotic large subunit ribosomal RNA
Source: RNAcentral